Molecule: ribosomal RNA, 466 nt
Filed under: uncultured bacterium
Lineage: Bacteria
Description: partial 16S ribosomal RNA
Rfam family: Bacterial small subunit ribosomal RNA
Source: RNAcentral
GGACGAACGCUGGCGGCGUGCUUAACACAUGCACGUCGAACGGAAAGGCCCCUUUGGGGGUACUCGAGUGGCGAACGGGUGAGUAACACGUGAGUAACCUGCCCUUGACUUCGGGAUAACUUCAGGAAACUGGGGCUAAUACCGGAUAGGAAUCCUUGCUGCAUGGUGGGGGUUGGAAAGCUUCGGCGGUUUUGGAUGGACUCGCGGCUUAUCAGCUUGUUGGUGGGGUAGUGGCUUACCAAGGCUUUGACGGGUAGCCGGCCUGAGAGGGCGACCGGCCACAUUGGGACUGAGAUACGGCCCAGACUCCUACGGGAGGCAGCAGUGGGGAAUAUUGCACAAUGGGCGGAAGCCUGAUGCAGCAACGCCGCGUGCGGGAUGACGGCCUUCGGGUUGUAAACCGCUUUCAGCAGGGGCGAAGCUUGUGGUGACGGUACCUGCAGAAGAAGCACCGGCUAACUACGUG